This 75-nucleotide transfer RNA is filed under the name Streptococcus pneumoniae. Its description in RNAcentral is "tRNA-Gly(gcc)". It matches the Rfam family "tRNA". From Rfam's summary of the family: Transfer RNA (tRNA) molecules are approximately 80 nucleotides in length. Their secondary structure includes four short double-helical elements and three loops (D, anti-codon, and T loops). Further hydrogen bonds mediate the characteristic L-shaped molecular structure. tRNAs have two regions of fundamental functional importance: the anti-codon, which is responsible for specific mRNA codon recognition, and the 3' end, to which the tRNAs corresponding amino acid is attached (by aminoacyl-tRNA synthetases). tRNAs cope with the degeneracy of the genetic code in two manners: having more than one tRNA (with a specific anti-codon) for a particular amino acid; and 'wobble' base-pairing, i.e. permitting non-standard base-pairing at the 3rd anti-codon position. Lineage: Bacteria; Bacillati; Bacillota; Bacilli; Lactobacillales; Streptococcaceae. The record is from RNAcentral.
NCGGAAGUAGUUCAGUGGUAGAAUACAACCUUGCCAAGGUUGGGGUCGCGGGUUCGAAUCCCGUCUUCCGCUCCA